GGGACUUACAAAAACAGUAACUCGUCAGAAAGCCAACAAUAUAUGUAAUAAACAAUGGCAGGUUUAUAAGACAUCUAGAUUGCUAAACCACAACUUAUCAUUUUAAAAAACAUAUUAUGAAACUCUGUCCUCAAAUGACUGAUCUGAUCACAUCUGCACCGAGGACAGCAUACUGAUUAAAGAUAUCACCGGGAUCAGAGUACACCAGGUGCCCUUGGCAAGACAGAUAAGCUGCAGUAAUAUGAUUACACGUCCUGCAUUGUGCAACCCGUGACUCAACCUCUAAUUACAGCUGUGCUGCACUGUUUGCAGGUAAACUGCGGCUCAGGACGCUCUGAAUGGAGUCCAGGAAGCCCGUAAUUUUACAUGUGUCCUUUGCACCACGCUUGUGACUCGGGUGGAAAUGGGUGUCAAAGGUGAGCGCAAAUCUGACAAAUACAGAAAUACAGACAGCAGGUCAAGGACGGCAGGUAGUUCAAGGGAGGGGCGGAGCCAGCUAAUGGUUACACUGAGUUAAACAAAUGAGCAGAGGGGGCGAGUCACAGAGGGGGUGGAGCCAGAGCCACAAACAGACACACCCACACAAGCAAAGUGAUUAUCUCAGUGGAAAAAUGGUCCAGAUGUCUCCUGCAUCCCUGCAGAUUCAUGUUCUCUUUUUUUUUAAGUAUCACAGCAGGAGUGGUCCGGAAUGACCUAGAUCUGUAAAGGAGCGACGGCGGGACGUGCUGAGACGCUUACAGACAGAAAUACUGCUUAUUUUAGUGUUCCACAUGCAAUUUUACGUAAAAAGUUUUUAUUAGACUCACUGUAAUUCAUUGUUGGUCAUAUUUAGUAUUCAACCAAUAAAGGGCAUGAUAUCAGCUGCUGUAAUGUCUAUAUACUGUAUGUAAUACAACAAAAUCACAAGAGACAGGCACAAAAUUUAUGCAUUUACUUGUAAUUAUUAAAUCAUUCACUUAAAAUGUAUAAUUCGCUUUCAAGUCAAAAUAUUGUGGCAC
Molecule: long non-coding RNA, 998 nt
Organism: Cyprinus carpio carpio
Lineage: Eukaryota; Metazoa; Chordata; Actinopteri; Cypriniformes; Cyprinidae
Source: Ensembl